ACAAGGUAAAACUACAGUACAGGCACAUUAGGGGUGUCUGAUAAAGAAAUCAUUACAAAGAUUCAAACAGAUAUUGGUGGAUGAAAAAAAUAUAAAAAUAAUAAUAAAAGUAAAAUAAAGGUAAAAAUGAAUAAAGAAAUAAAGAAAGAAAUUGUUGGUUUCAAUGACAGAUUAUUAGACCUCAAUUACCCAAGGGGAAGUGUGGUAGAUAAAUUGAAUAAAAUCAUAAUGUGUUAAUCCAUUUGUCACAAAAACAAUAAUACACUUAUACAGUAUUGCUUAGUUUUUGAUUUGCUAAAAGUAGUAACGCAUAUGCAGCCUGCUAAUUUAUAUUGAGUAAUGCUUAUAUAGUUCUAUCUAGUAGACUCAGUUUUCACCUUGAAUGUACAUAUCCUAUCAUCUGCUCAAUAGUUACGCAAGAGAAAAGACAGGAUGCUGAGAUGAGACAAUGUGUGAAAGUUGAAUGAUGACAUUAGAAGAAUGUCUGCAAAAGUUGUGUCAAAGGUCAGAGAAUAUGUUGUGCCUGAUGGAAAGAAGUAGACACAAGAGUGUUGAGGAAUUUCUGUCCUCCAGCGAGCCAGAGGUCUCGUCAAUAUUGAGCUCUUAUAAUAAAUACUUCUGCUGAAGACAUCCACGUUCUCCGACUUCUUGAAUCAGCGUAAACUCCAUAAAUUUUUCCACCACAAAGACAAUAUGUGCUGUCCAGUGUUUCCUCUAGGAUUUUUUCAGCAGCGGGGGCUGGCCAUUCAAACUCAUAAAAUCAUCUAACGCGUCAUGAAAUGCUAAGCUAAGGGGGAUCCCUACAAAGCACUGCUUGAAUAGUUAAAUGAAAAUUAAGCUGAAAGAUUAUGUCUAUCUAAUUGCAAAAAAAAACGACCAACGAGUGGUCCAGAAAGCUGAAAAAAUAAUAACUCAACCCAACCAAGCAUCUUUCCAGUGAAUUUUUAGUCAUGCCGGCGCUAUUUUGUGCCUGUACGGAAAACUAAUCGUUAUGCCUAUUCCUUUUUUCCUUCAGCUUUUAGGAUACUAAACGCAACCCGCUGAUCUGUGCACUUGUCACUUGUCAUGAUCCGCUGACUGUUAGUUAUAGUCGACUCUCAUCUCUAGUUUGUUUAUUUUAUUAUUCCCCUUAGUUUCUUGAUCCCCUUUUGUUGUUUCCUGUUUUAUUUUGAAGUCCUUUUCCUUAUGCUGCUCCACUUCCUUUCCCGUGUCUUGUUUCUGGUGUCUUUACUUUUCCUGUGUCUCCUGCCCCUGUGAUUGUCUGCACCUGUUCCUAAUAUGUCUCACCUGUGUUCAAUUUGCCCCGCCCACCUUGUGUCUAUUUAGUCUCUGUGCUUCCGUUUGUCUGUGAUUUUCCCCCUGGUCUGCUCCUGUUGAUUUCCCCCUGGUCUGCUCCUGUUGAUUUCCCCCUGGAUCCAGUGUUUUGCUACUGACUACCUUUUGCUACAUUUUGUGGACACUCUGAGUUGGUUUUCCUUUUUACUUUGGAAAUUUGUUGGUUUUGUUUUAUUUUAUAUUCUCUCCACCUCUGCUUUUAGGUCCAGUUCCUGCUCAAUCCUGCCAUCACUGGCUUGAUUAUGAUGUUGAUGUUGAUGUCUGAUUGCUGUUGUUAGUUAUGUAUCAAUUUAAUUUUGAUUUAUUUACAUGGAUGGUAUAGACUGUAAAAAUGAAUUGCCUCUUUGGGAUGAAUUAAGUUAAUCUGAAUCUGGACUCUGGACAUGUUGAAGCUGAGCUCUCAGCAAGAAAGGUGAAACUGCUACUUCAAACAAGGCACGCCAAGGACCAGGACCCCUGCUGAUUUUUGAUGUCAACAAUCUCCAAAGCACUGCAGCCAGUGUCAGAGUCUGCAUCAAGCAGGAGGUAAUUAACUGGGUUCGAACCCCACCAGAGUCGCCUGACCUGAACCCCACUGAGCACCAUACUCACCCGAGAGGCCUGGAACAACUACAUUGACCACCUGGACAAGGUCAUACUGCAGGUCAUUGCAUUAAAUGGUGAUGCCACUGGGAUGUAGUGAAUUUUCCA
Molecule: long non-coding RNA, 2025 nt
Organism: Scophthalmus maximus (turbot)
Lineage: Eukaryota; Metazoa; Chordata; Actinopteri; Pleuronectiformes; Scophthalmidae
Exons: 3
Source: RefSeq, a predicted model, not a curated record